This is a non-coding RNA of Carcharodon carcharias (great white shark), 72 nucleotides long. Lineage: Eukaryota; Metazoa; Chordata; Chondrichthyes; Lamniformes; Lamnidae. The record is from the annotation of a RefSeq genome assembly.
UGGGGUGUAGCUCAGUGGUAGAGCAUUUGACUGCAGAUCAAGCUGACCUUAGUUCAAAUCUAAGUACCCCCU